GCUUGAAAUCCAACUGACAACUUCACUUCCAGCUGGGAGCCAGAGGAGAAAGGAAAACUUUCCCUGACAAGGAUAUGUUCUUGUGUUUCUACCCUGGUACAAGAAUUGACUCAGAUAUAACAAAGGAAAUCAUGAACAAGAGUGAAUUUGGAAAAAGAAGUAAUCUACAUCAGUGGAAACUAUUCCCUAAUUAAUGAGAUUACAAAUGCAUCUGGACAUUUUAGUUAAAAAACUUAUCAUACAAAAAAAAAAACCCUGCAAACUCUUUGAGGGUAGAGAUUAUCUUCAUAUUUCUUAUUUGUAUUAAAAUACCCAGUAAAGAGUAGAUAUUUAAUAAGUGAUUAUUAAAUUAAAUUGAAUUCCUACUUUAUCAUACACACAAGACAGCAUUGUAUUGUGUAUAGAGGACUGGUUUGAAAUCUAGAAAAUUUAUGUUCAAAUAGUUCUUCUGACACAUACUAGACUAGAAUAUAAAAACAAUAUCUUUGUUGGCUUACUCAGUGAUCUGGUAAGAAUAUAGUAUUUGAUCCAGGAGAUGAUGGUUUUAUUCUACCAGCAUAUAAUUGCAUGGAGUUAAACAAUCAAUUAAUAAGCAUUUACUAAGCACUUACUGAGUGCCAGGCAUUUUGCUAGGUCUUGGGGAUAACACUUCAAAAGUGGAAUCACCCUUGAUUUUAAAGUUACAAUCAAACCAGAUAAGACAACAUGUAUCUAUAGAUAUUUCAAAGUAGAUACGUAAGAGAUAUAAUGUAAUUUUUGGAAAAAUACUUGUAGGUUGGAGAAGUAAAUAAGUUUUAAUGUGGGAAGUUGCACACUGAAGGAAACUAGGGACUCUAAGAGAGGAGAUGAGAGAUUGGAUUCAAGAUUGACAUGGAAGACAACUAGAACAAAACAGUAAUUUGGAGAUACAGUUCUAUUCAUGAGGAGCAGUAAAAAGGUAAGUUUGACUGGUCCGUCCAUACUUGAAAGCUAAUAAAAUGUAACAAAGCUGUACUGGUGCA
RNAcentral lists this long non-coding RNA (1001 nucleotides) under Monodelphis domestica (gray short-tailed opossum). Its description in RNAcentral is "lncRNA (ENSMODG00000036538.1)". Lineage: Eukaryota; Metazoa; Chordata; Mammalia; Didelphimorphia; Didelphidae. The record is from RNAcentral.